UACAGAGGGGGCAAGCGUUGUUCGGAAUUACUGGGCGUAAAGGGCGCGUAGGCGGCCGCCUAAGUCAGACGUGAAAUCCCUCGGCUCAACCGGGGAACUGCGUCUGGUACUGGGUGGCUUGAAUUCGGGAGAGGGAUGCGGAAUUCCAGGUGUAGCGGUGAAAUGCGUAGAUAUCUGGAGGAACACCGGUGGCGAAGGCGGCAUCCUGGACCGAGAUUGACGCUGAGGCGCGAAAGCCAGGGGAGCAAACGGG
Molecule: ribosomal RNA, 253 nt
Filed under: uncultured bacterium
Lineage: Bacteria
Description: partial 16S ribosomal RNA
Rfam family: Bacterial small subunit ribosomal RNA
Source: RNAcentral